CAGUCGCCGCGGUAAAACGUAGGUGGCAAGCGUUGUCCGGAAUUAUUGGGCGUAAAGGGCUCGCAGGCGGUUUCUUAAGUCUGAUGUGAAAGCCCCCGGCUCAACCGGGGAGGGUCAUUGGAAACUGGGAAACUUGAGUGCAGAAGAGGAGAGUGGAAUUCCACGUGUAGCGGUGAAAUGCGUAGAGAUGUGGAGGAACACCAGUGGCGAAGGCGACUCUCUGGUCUGUAACUGACGCUGAGGAGCGAAAGCGUGGGGAGCGAACAGGAUUAGAUACCCCGGUAGUCCCUGUCUCUUAUAC
This 301-nucleotide ribosomal RNA is filed under the name uncultured bacterium. Its description in RNAcentral is "partial 16S ribosomal RNA". It matches the Rfam family "Bacterial small subunit ribosomal RNA", at positions 509 to 807 of the family's 1533-position model. The record is from RNAcentral.